UGGGGUUCUACUUUAAAGUCGUGGUCGUGGACAAUUUGGGAUUUAUUAAGGAAUUUUUGUAGUUGCUAGGCUGUGGUUCUAUGUGCUGAGGAGGGAGGCGUUGCUGCUCAUGCUGCUGUUGCUGGAGUCCUCACUUUAUUUGUUAAGACUAUGUAAUGACCGAAUGAUGUUAUUUGUUUGUGUCAUCCUUGACUCUUUACCUACCGCAUGUAAUCCUGCAAUCGGUACUUUUAAUGCUAUCGUUAUUAAAAACUGUUUACUCAUGUUUUAGCAAUAACCUAUCCUUAUUAGUCAAAGGGAGUAUUUAUCUACUUAUGACCACUCGCAUGUUGCUAUUUGGGUUUCAGGAUUAUACUUUCUGAAAUUCCUAUUCUCUGUACUGAGUGAAACUAAUAUACUGGGUUACCUGUAAAUCCUGUCAGUGUAACUUGAAAAGGAUUCUCAUCCUCCCAGAGAGAGUAAAUAGAGAUGGUGAAAUGUCAUCCUAGUUGUUAGGACGGAGCUCAUCAGAUCUUUUCCCCCUUUCACACCAUUUUGUUAGCGUUGUGCUUGAGUGAGAGGCUACUGAUAGCGCUGCUGACCCUUCCCAAACCUUGGACGCCUGCUGAACCUCGUCUGGUUGCAGCUGGGUGUUGUGCCGAUUCCAGCUUGGCCUGUGCUGGUUGCAGCAUCUCGGCCUGUCCCUGCAACCCUCUGCUUGCUGCCCCUUGCAGAACCUCGUCGUGUGCAGCUGGACGUUGUGCUGAUGCUUAACCUGUGCAGCUUGCAGCUGUGCUGGUUGCAGCAUCUCAGCUUGUCGCUUGCAGCUGGUUACAACAUCCCCCAUGACGUAGCAGUGGCUCAGGCGCUUUGCAGUAAAACUUCUCGCAGGGAAAAACCGCCACCGUUGCGGAUUCCUCCAGCAAAAAUUGUCGCCUGUCAAAGAAAAAAGCAGCAAUGUUGCGGAUCACUAGCAAAAUCAGUCACCCGUUCGAGCAAAAAAUGUCACCGGUCGCAGCAAAAUUGUCUGUCACAACAAAAAGCACCACCGAUCGACCUGGCGGUGUUAACCAAGCACAUGUUUGAUCCCUUUAACAUAAGGGGUAAGAGUCCGACGGUGUGCCAAUCAUCACCAUUAGCCACCUGGAAUGCGAGGAGGUAAUUUGUUGCCCAAAAUCUCAGGGUCCGCUUCCGUUGUACUUGUCCAUCGUGUUUAUCUUAAAGCUGGAUGCGAACUUGUAGCAGACGAUCUCGUACAUCAAGAUCCCUUCUUAGUUUGGCAUGAUGAUGUGCUAUUCGUGUCACCGGUUGUCCUGAUGUGACUCUUACAUGGCCAUCCUGCUGGAUCAUCGCCGUCUUCAGAUAUUCCAUCCCUUCUUGCUUGAACCUCCGCUUGUCCGGAUGCCCUUUUUGGGAACUGUGUCAUGACCAGGGCUCCCGCCGCUACCUGUAUAUCCUUAGCUGGAGUGUGAUAGGACUCUGGGCCCUCCUGGAUCAAUGGCGUUCACGAGCGCCUCUUUCACUCGUCUACUUUCCAUGGCUAGGGAGGCCUUGUCCUCUGCCGGCAUGGUCUUUCCGAUGGGAUGGCAAAACCGGAACAGCUCCUCGCUGCGUCCAGGCCCGCCGCCCUCCUCUCCAAGCGUCUCUUCUCCUUGGAAACCUUGACGAGAGCCGACAAGGCUUUCAUCCGGACUUCGUCUUGCUCCUCAUCUUCUAGGAUCGCUCCAUCAAGUGCUUCAAUAUCCCUAUCGCUAAAUUCUGACACCUCGUCGCUUUCCUCCUGGCUUGGAUCUAGCGUGUCUACUACAUAGCAGGACUGGACCGAGGUCGCCUGCCACGUGCAAAGAGGCACCACGGCUCAUGGUGGGCUAACUCCUCAUUCCCCUCGAGGAUGUUGGUGAGAUCUUCAACGUUGGCGAUUAAGUGGGUUGUGAGCAGAUCAAUUUUUUGGCAUGCUGCUCUUGGGCCUGGAAUGACGUCAGACCUUGGAGAAGGAGCUCGCCGCGUGAAUCCGCGACGUACUCUAGAUUGCUUAAUUGAACAAUCCAGCCUAGGGUGCAGCUCUCAACUUGGCCCAAGCGACCGGUCGAGUCGGCGACAAAGGUCAUGGCGCCGAAAAAGAAGAUUUGACCUGACGUGUAGAUCGUGUCGUCGUCAACUAGCGAUCCCAUCUGAUCACUAAGUUCACAGAUCCCUCAAUAGGGUAUCCUAGUGAGGUGAGUAAAUCAGGGGGGAAACAUGAGACAGAUUUACCCAGGUUCAGGCCCUUCUUACAAGGUAAAACCCUAUUGUGUUACGGUGUAGAAAGUACAUGUAUUACUCAAGGGAUUGUAUGUUUUCUAUCGACUAGCUCGACCCCGGCUUAUAUGAGAUAUCGGGGCCCCUAGAGUUACAUGGACCUAGUCGACUAUGCUGGUGGAGGGGAGUCCUUCAUGUCUCUGGCUUCCUUAUCUUAUGGGCUAAGGGAGAAGGAGGUCAAGAUGCACUGAUCAUCAAGGAAAAUAGAGCUAUGAAAGAUGGUGCAGGGGUAACCCUCUUCCGCCAUGAACGUCGUGGGUCAAAUGUAGAUGCUCACAAUAUAGAAAAAGCUCUAGUCUUAUCACCAGGUAGGCAUGUCUAGUUGCUUGAGCCCCCGGGCUACGUAAACUCUAUGAUUGAUUAUUAAAGCUCGGGUUUGUUAUUCUUAAAAAAUGUUUUGGAGCAUUGUUUUUCCCCAGGUCUCCACGAAUGUCAUUCCAUCGCGAAAAUUUGCACGCAUGUGAAAUAUACAUCGAUGUUUGUUGCUAAAAAAAUUCAGAUUUUUUUUAUUUUUUACAAAUUUUUCUUACUGUUCCAAAUGGUAUAUGUGAGCUCGUGCUCACAAACUUCAUGUCCCAUUCUAACAAAUCAACUCUCAGGUUGCAAAAAAAACCCCAUUUACGUUGAUUUCUUCCUCUGUGAAUUGAGUGUUCCAAAUAAUAGACAACUCUACAUUUGGUCUUAUAGGAAUGAUAAUAGAUGGGAGUACAUCUCUUCAGAAUACUACUAGGAAAGGAGCACAUGUGUUGCAACGGGGUAAUUAAAUUAUGGUCUUCAAAUUGAGUGACCCAUAACAUAAUACCUAUAAUGAUUACAAAUAAUAUACAACUCACACUGUUAAUUCAAAUCAAUAACAAGGUAUGAGGUCAAUGAACCAAAAUGAAUCAAACAGAUUAAGUGGUCGAUAUGUAUAAGGUCAAUGAAACCAUCGAGAGUGACAACUACAAGCUCAACGCACCGUGAGGCUUGAGUUCUCUUAUUUAUUGCAGACAUGUGUAGCUACUAACAUAAUUAGGCCAUCGUUAUUAGGGGUAGUAGUGCAUAGUCUUCUUCAUAGAUUGUGAUUUUGUGAAAUACUCUCGCAGUACAUUGUCUUGUUACACCAUCCUGUGCCGUCGUCAAGUCCUAAUCGGAAGCAAUGUUCAGCUGAUAAGAGCUCUACGAGAAAGUAAUGACAAUCAAGCUGGCAUUGUAUUGGUGCUCAUAAAUCACACAUACAGUUGGCCUCUCCACACAAAUAUGCAGGACACAAAAAACAAGUGCUAUCAUUAAUUGACUACUGGAUACUAGUUUGUAUACAAUAAAUCAGUAUAAAAAAACACAGGCAAGUGGAGAAAAUAUGAAGCUAUGUUGUUGCUCCUCCUCACUAACAUUGGUGACUUGGCUGUCUUCAUUUAGAUUUCCCAAGAUAAUUUCUGAUGGCCCUUCUGAUGCACCAACUCAAAAUUACAAGAAAUACCACAUCCUUCUGCUUGUCGGUCUCGGAAUUGGUGCAACUCCUUUCGUCAGCAUACUGAAGGAUGUCCUUAACAACAUAAAGUCCAAUAAAGUAACAUAGUCACUGAAUGUUCUUCCUCAUACAUGAGUAGAGAUGCACAAUGGCUAAAAUGAAUUGGAUUCUACAAGAGCAGCAAAGCAUGCAUGACGUCGAGUUAGGCAGCACCUUCAACUUCAAGGGCAACGUGCCAAGCCGAGCAUACAUGUAUUGGGUUACCACUUACCAGAGACCAAGCGGCUCGUUUGAACGGUUCAGAGGUGUCAUAGGUGAAGUUGCUGAAAGUGAUAACGGUGUACUAGUCAGCCGUAACAGUUUCAGAUACACCAUGGUUGCCUGCAAAAAGUUUCAGAUACAUCAUGGUUAAUUGCUUGCUUCCUUUCCUAACUGCUACUUCAAGAUCUGCACACACUUUGCAAGGCCAAACUGAAGAAAGGUUAGUCACAUUUGAUUAUUACUACAGUAUUAUUUUUGGCUGCGCGCCUGAUUAAAAUCUAAGUGACGAAUCCCACUUUAUACAUUACAAAAAAAGACACUGUAUACUAAGAUGACGCCGCAUAAGUCUGCAGGUGUUUUCACCCUCUGCCUCCUCCUCUUACCGGCUCUCAUCAGCGGCAUGCAAAAGGGGAGAGGCGGCUGUAGCGACGUAUCCCGGCCGGACCCGUGCGUGUUGGAGGCCUGGAAGGUGAUCGGAUCGGAUCUAGAGUCCGUGGAGGAGACUUGCUCGGAUACACAAACUUUGCACAGAGUUCCAUUACGAUUAAUGGGUGGCCUUGCCGGACCCGGACACGGGCUCCCCAUGAACCGCCCUCCUUUUGCCACAUAAAUAGGCUUCGAGCCCUCUACGGAAGCAUCCAAUCUCCCGGUCCUUCAAUCUCGCCGCUCCACCACUCCGCCGGCCGCCCGUGCUCCAUACGCCGUCGUACAAUCUCGCCGUUCUACCAACAUCGCCGGACCGCCGUGCUCCACCUGAGGUACGCCCGAUCUCGUGCCAAGCUGAAUUCUGUCCUGUCGAUGCUGAGAAGUCAUGAUCUUUCAUGUGUGUCUGCGCUCUGCAACCAUAGCUGCCAUCGUCAUUACCUUGCACCUAUACGGACAGUCUGCACUCUUUAGGCCUCAUAGAUUAGCCACAAAGUAGGCUAUACACACACUGGAGAGUAGGAGUACUUCAUAGUGGCGCCUGGUAGUUCCAAUAUCUGGAGAAAAUACCUGUCCAAUCUUCUGCUUUGGACUCUGCUUGAGUUCACUUUUCCAAAGCUCGCUACGGUACUGGAUACUGGAAGGCCAAUUUGGCUAAAGGCAGAGAAUAGUUCAAAAGAGAGAAUAUAUGCCAUGCUCUCUAUUACCUGAUCAGGUUUCAUCUUAAAUUGUGGUGAUUCUGUUCUAUGCAAUAUUAUUUGCUAUGUUCUGGCAUUGAUUCUCUGUUAUGGCUGACGCGUGUGUCAAGGCUAAUAAGAACUAUUUUUACCCAAUGGUAAAUUUACUGAACAAGCUCCUGUCUUAUCCCCAUCGUCUGUCUUAAGGCUAAUCUAUUCAUGGUUAGUUUUCCUUGCUGUACAAAGGUCAUCGUUCAUUCGCUCUUUUGUACUAUGUUCUUCUUCUCUUUCCUUUACAGUAAAACAUAGACCAUGCUUCCAUUGUUGCAACUUGCAACUAGUUCCAGGUUUGCUCGUGGGUGUCAUUUGAGGUCAGAGUAAAUAUUUUGGUAGUGUGCCAACUAUAGGCACACUCGGUCGAAAUCCAAAAAAUCCAGUAGCUUAUGCAGCCUAUAAUUAGCUUUUACAUAUUAAUUAGUAGCUGAUUUCUGUCAAAAUGAAUAGAUGGACACCCUCUAUUUACAAUAUUAUUAUAAUUUUCUCCCUGUUUGAUUGAACUCCAUGCUGAUUACACCUUCACACAAUAUAAGAUAUUGUUUGAGCAAUCUGACUGUGGGAUGUUCAGGUUGUUAUUGCAGAAAAUGAAUGACAGCGCUGACUUGACCAUUGUUGUGGAUUUUGAUAACCGACCUUCAAAAAAAGCCAAUUUUUCUGAAUCGGAUCUUUUGGAGCCAUCACCUACGUCACCAACCAUCUGACAUCAUCUCUGGUUUUUGAAUGUUUUGAAUCGAUUGUUCUGGAAUCAGAUAGAUGUUGAUCCAUUGCCAUGACCACCGUCACCAACCAGCUCGACAUUACCUCCAGUUUCUGAAUGUAUGAAUGAAAGAAAAGUUUAAUCGAUGAUGAUAAGUAACCAGAUGAAUAUGAACAAAUAAAAGUUGAUGAAACAUACAACUAGCUCCCACUAGAUAAUUGUUUGAUUUAUGAUGUGUACUUUUGUAUCUAGCAUCCUCCUUUUUAUUAUUUAAUAUUAUUAUUUGUGUAUGUGCACGGUUAAUCCAUAUUUACACAUGGAUUUAUUCGAUAUUUUUUCAAAUUAUUUUACUUUUUGCAGAUUAUGCACUGACCAACAGUGAUGUAUGUGCUCAUAUAUCAAUAGAAACAUCUUUUGAAAAAACGAUUACAGGUGAAGAUAGAUGAAAUAUCUGUCAAACAACAUCAAUUGGUGUGCGUGUUAGAUAAAAAAGGGUGGCUAAACGAUGAUGUAAGUACCCUUUCUUACAAGAAUGUCCAAUUAUUGAUAUCCAUUAGUAAUGUCUUUUUCAAAAUCUUUUUAUGUAAUCAGUGCAUAUGUAUGUUGUAUAGAGGACCAAGUACAUGUUCAAAAUGAUAGUAAAGUAUAUUUUCAGAAUCCUUUUGUUACCGCAUCGUUAAUACGGUAUGUCAACCUUGGUAUAUAUAUGAAGAUGGUACCUUUAUGAAAAAGAUUGUAAAAAACUAUGUGAAGCAUGACAUUGUAACAUCCAUAUCCUUUAUUUUCCAUGUUCCGGGUUUAAUACAUAUUUAUUAGUAAUUUUACUAAUUAUUUUGAUUAUAGAAUGAACUUCCAAUAAAUAUGAACAACACACAUUGCUAUUUAACUGUUGGGGACGCAAAAAAUUGUGAGAUUACAGUACUUGACUCAUUGUGUUGGGAGUUUGACCGAGAUGAUCUCACUAUUACGGUUGGUUACUACAUCACUAUUACGGUUAGUUACUACAUAACUAACCGUAAUAGUGAGAUCAUCUCAGUCAAACUCGCAACACAAUGAGUCGAGUACUUGAAUCUCACACUUUUGCAUUCACAACAGCUAAAUACCAAUGUGUGUUGUUCAUAUUUAUUGGAAGUUCAAUCUAUAAAUCAAGAUCAUCAGUAAAAUUAUGAAUAAAAGUGUAUGAAACACAAAACAUGAAAAUUAUGUAUAUGGAUGUUACCAUGUCAUGCUUCACGUAGUUUUUGACAAUCUCACCAUGUUCAUUUAUUCCAAGGUUGCCAUCAUGCUUUAACGGUGCAGUAACAAAAUGAUUCUCAAAAUAUACUUUACUAUCAUUCUGGACAUGCACUUGGUCUUGUAUACAAAGUUUGACUAAAUUUAUAUUAAAAAAUAUCAACAUCGUCUACAAUACUAAAGUUAUAUAGACGAAAAUUAAUUUUCAUCUAAUGCGUUUCGUAUUGUAAAUGUUGAUGUCUUUUCAUAUAAAAUUGGUCAAAAUUUACUAAGUUUGACUUCAAACAAAUUUCAUAUGCAAACUAAAAAGAAACA
RNAcentral lists this long non-coding RNA (7390 nucleotides) under Triticum aestivum (bread wheat). RNAcentral describes it as "long non-coding RNA (TAES_LNC015149)". Lineage: Eukaryota; Viridiplantae; Streptophyta; Magnoliopsida; Poales; Poaceae. The record is from RNAcentral.